UCUUGGUUCAGGAUGAACGCUAGCGACAGGCUUAACACAUGCAAGUCGAGGGCAGCAUAAAAGUAGCAAUACUUGGUGGCGACCGGCGCACGGGUGAGUAACGCGUAUGCAACCUACCUAUCAGAGGGGAAUAACCCGGCGAAAGUCGGACUAAUACCGCAUAAAACAGGGGCACCGCAUGGUGAUAUUUGUUAAAGAAAUUCGCUGAUAGAUGGGCAUGCGUUCCAUUAGGUAGUUGGUGAGGUAACGGCUCACCAAGCCGACGAUGGAUAGGGGAACUGAGAGGUUGGUCCCCCACACUGGUACUGAGACACGGACCAGACUCCUACGGGAGGCAGCAGUGAGGAAUAUUGGUCAAUGGGCGGGAGCCUGAACCAGCCAAGUCGCGUGAAGGAAGAAGGAUCUAUGGUUCGUAAACUUCUUUUGCAGGGGAAUAAAGUGCAGGACGUGUCCUGUUUUGUAUGUACCCUGAGAAUAAGGAUCGGCUAACUCCGUGCCAGCCGCCGC
RNAcentral lists this ribosomal RNA (507 nucleotides) under uncultured bacterium. Its description in RNAcentral is "bacterial SSU rRNA". It matches the Rfam family "Bacterial small subunit ribosomal RNA", at positions 17 to 518 of the family's 1533-position model. The record is from RNAcentral.